GGCUUUUUUGAAAUUUACAGUAUACUUUAUUCAUUUCUCAUAACACAUUUGCAUCAAAUUAAUUGACACUGGAAGGACCAAAUAAACCCUUGUGGGUUUUUACAAGUCAGUCCUUUUACAAUUAAAUUACAAACAGCCAAGAGUGUCGACCAAUUAACUCUUCCGUUCACUGACUGAGUGCCCACAUGUACGUGCGAAUUGUACGAAUCUGCACACAAACCAUGCUAUCAUAUAAGUAUAACUAUAUAUAUGAGACUCUAGACUUGAGCCCCGUUUACACUACGCUCAAUUUUUGGUACGGCACAGAUAAAAUUGGUACCCGUACCACUUUUUUGGUUCUUGGACUACCUAUUUAGCUAAGCCCCGUUUAUACUACGCUCAAUUUUUGGUACCGUACCACUUUUUUGGUUCUUUGUACCAUGCAUCUAAAUAGGUAGUCCAAGAACCAAAAAGUGGUACGGGUACCAAGUUUAUCCGUGCCGUACCAAAAAUUGAGCGUAG
Paramuricea clavata is the source of this 501-nucleotide non-coding RNA. Lineage: Eukaryota; Metazoa; Cnidaria; Anthozoa; Malacalcyonacea; Plexauridae. The record is from the annotation of a GenBank genome assembly.